Molecule: ribosomal RNA, 253 nt
Filed under: uncultured prokaryote
Description: partial 16S ribosomal RNA
Rfam family: Bacterial small subunit ribosomal RNA
Source: RNAcentral
ACGGGGGGGGCAAGCGUUGUUCGGAAUUACUGGGCGUAAAGGGCUCGUAGGUGGCCAACUAAGUCGGACGUGAAAUCCCUCGGCUUAACCGGGGAACUGCGUCCGAUACUGGUUGGCUUGAGUUUGGGAGAGGGAUGCGGAAUUCCAGGUGUAGCGGUGAAAUGCGUAGAUAUCGGAAGGAACACCCGUGGCGAAGGCGGCUUCCUGGCUUCAGACUGACGCUGAGGUGCGAAAGCGUGGGUAGCGAACAGGA